Non-coding RNA from Schistosoma mansoni, 45 nucleotides. The record is from Rfam. Lineage: Eukaryota; Metazoa; Platyhelminthes; Trematoda; Strigeidida; Schistosomatidae.
AUCCAGCUGACAAGUCCAAAAUAGGAUGAUACUCGCGUCCUGGAU